UACGUAGGGUCCGAGCGUUGUCCGGAAUUACUGGGCGUAAAGAGCUCGUAGGUGGUUUGUCGCGUUGUCCGUGAAAACUCACAGCUCAACUGUGGGCGUGCGGGCGAUACGGGCAGACUGGAGUACUGCAGGGGAGACUGGAAUUCCUGGUGUAGCGGUGGAAUGCGCAGAUAUCAGGAGGAACACCGGUGGCGAAGGCGGGUCUCUGGGCGGUAACUGACGCUGAGGAGCGAAAGCGUGGGGAGCGAACAGG
RNAcentral lists this ribosomal RNA (253 nucleotides) under uncultured bacterium. Its description in RNAcentral is "partial 16S ribosomal RNA". It matches the Rfam family "Bacterial small subunit ribosomal RNA", at positions 524 to 776 of the family's 1533-position model. The record is from RNAcentral.